Molecule: long non-coding RNA, 890 nt
Filed under: Anas platyrhynchos platyrhynchos (common mallard)
Lineage: Eukaryota; Metazoa; Chordata; Aves; Anseriformes; Anatidae
Description: lncRNA (ENSAPLG00000028527.1)
Source: RNAcentral
GAAUAUUUACAUUUGCUCCAAACACAUGUUCAAGUCAUUAAGACUUGUGAUAUAUACUUGUGAUUUGCUACUUCUUGUUGUCUUGCAAUUGGCUCUGGAGAGACCAAAGUACACAAAAGUGAUACUUUAUGGCCAUGUUCUAUUUAAAGAUAGUCCAUUAAAAAGGAAAAAAAAAAAAGGAAAAAAAGGAAAGAAAAAGAGUGGUUUGUUCUACCUCAAUCUCAAUACCUCAAUAAAAGGGUUGUAGUUUCAUUUCUCUGUCUCUUUAAAUCUGGGCCAGGUCCACAGCUGUGCCAUGAAGAUCAGGGUGCUGAGCUCUUCCUCCAGGGACUGCUCUAUUGCCAGCGCUGUUUUCGAGCUUGCAGAUGUGUGUGAAUUCCUGUGGCAACUGCUGGGCAGAGAUGCAUGCUGGAAGUCAGUCCCUCAAUACGACAUGCUUUAUCCUGCGCGUCAGAAAGCCGAGGACCACAUACACUGUGCUUCCCAGUUCAUCAUUCAGCUGACUCCCUUGGAAAGUAGGAGGAGCUACAUGCUGGAGAUGUGGUGUGAAGAAUCUGAAAAGCUGACCACCCGGUGUGUUGAGUCCAUAUAGCACACUGUACCAUUACUCAGGAGCAGAUUUGCUUGUAAUAAGAAGGAAACAAAGCAACUAAAGCUUUGGAGACCUUGGGAAUUCUAUCAAACUGAAUGGAAAAUGCUCACUUGAAAUUAGUGCCUAUUUUUAACUGAAUGCUAAGGUUUCAACGGGUGACUUUGACCUGCAGUGAAUGAAGCAGAGUGUUUAAGGACAUCUGUCCUUAAAGUGAGAAGUAGAGCUGAUGUGACAUACACCAGACAAAGUGGAGAAGCAGAGAAAUAAAAGCUUUUUUUUUUUUUUUUCUUUUCUUUUC